AAAAUUUCCGCGNUGUGGACCUUCGGUUCCAAUCUUAACAAGCAGANUCUUUGUGUCUAUAGCGGAGAGAUGCUUUGNAUGAGCUUGAUCGUUGUGGUACGCUGGUGCAUGAGUUGUGCUGNACCUGUGACUGCUGGUAGAUCCCCCGUUUUGUCGGCCGACUACCGGCGCCUGUGUCCCUUCAUAGUUUGGCAAUCGUGGCUAAGCUAUUUAAGUGUGCUUGCAUGCUUGUACCAGUCUCACUGGAAGUUGCAAUCGAUUAUUGUUGCCUUUGUUGUGCAUGCCCUUAGGGUGUUGCACAUCGACCUGAAAGCAUUCAUGGCGUUGCCUCUUGUUGCUGGCCUAAGCUGGCUUCAUCAAGGCCACCUUGUGUAUGCUUUUGGUCUAGGAUGUGGCUAACUCUAAAGGCUGAUGGUGCUUCAGCACCUUGUGCCUAUAAAUGAGUCCGUUUGGAAACAAAGACAGUUGGCUUCGGUUGAUGCCCCGUGCGGAAGC
This 495-nucleotide unclassified non-coding RNA is filed under the name Steinchisma laxum. RNAcentral describes it as "partial external transcribed spacer". The record is from RNAcentral. Lineage: Eukaryota; Viridiplantae; Streptophyta; Magnoliopsida; Poales; Poaceae.